Tinamus guttatus (white-throated tinamou) is the source of this 450-nucleotide non-coding RNA. Lineage: Eukaryota; Metazoa; Chordata; Aves; Tinamiformes; Tinamidae. The record is from RefSeq and is a predicted model, not a curated record.
AGAUUAAGAGAAAAAGCUAGAUAUUUCUGAGUUGUGUCUGACCUGAGAAGUCCAUCAUCAAACUGUGUGGAGACGUUCUCUGAGCUUCCUCUCUUAUGUCUCUAAUGGACAAACACAAAGUGAAGCGGCAGCGUCUGGACCGUAUAUUUGAAGUAGAAAAAAUUGAACACGAUCCAGGCUACAGAGGUUGCAGUGGAUAAGAAGUUUAAAAGCUUUGGUUCAAGAUCGCAGGAGGCUGCGAGAAAAGUUAAAGACAUGGAAAUGAGGAUCCAGUGACAGGCUGCUAUUUUGCCUCAGAAUACAGAAGAUUGUAAAGCAUUGAGAAAUCGAAUUCAUGACCCUGGAAAUCAAGCUCAGAUUAAGAAAUGUCAGGCAUUCGACCCCCGAUCAUGAACGGGCCCAUGCACCCGCGCCCUUUGGUAGCAUUGCUGGAUGGCAGGGAUUGUACAG